Long non-coding RNA from Dermacentor albipictus, 669 nucleotides. RefSeq lists it as uncharacterized. The record is from RefSeq and is a predicted model, not a curated record. Lineage: Eukaryota; Metazoa; Arthropoda; Arachnida; Ixodida; Ixodidae.
GCUGGCGGCACGUCCAGAGCCGGCCCUAAAACGAUUUGUUCUGUUCCUGCAGGUGCGCAACUACGUCACAAGAGUUUCAAGUGGUUCAUCGGACGUCGGAUGCUCUUUUGCACGGAUGGCUUCGACGGUGUGGCAGCUCUGCUGAAAAACGUGGAACUUUUUCCAGUUCUUCUUGACUUCGGUUCGCGUCACAAGGUGGUGCUCUGAUCAACAAGCGCCGUCAUCGUCCCCAUAAAAACGCAUCGCUUGCAAGCAGCAAGCGCAGUUGGCGGCACGUCCAGAGCCGGCCCUAAAACGACUUGUUCUGUUCCUGCAGGUUUCAAUGCCGGUGUUCCGACCGCAGCUGGAGUUCCCUCCUGGACACUGGGGGUGCAUGAUCUGGCACGAGAACUGGGCGCUGCGCUUCUGGAAAGUCCCCAUAAGUCACGUGGUGUCUCAGACCCAGUCACGAAGCUAGAGCUUUGCUCAGACGACCUCAAAGCAACACGUGCUGAUCUCCUUGAGGGCGAAUGGGCCACGGGUCGAGACAUGGCAGAGGCAUUCGGCUUCUUCAUUGUCUUCUGUUACGGGCAACGUACUCUGUCACUGCAUUCACGACAUAGCACAAGUCAUCUUCGUCGCUUGGCGCGUGUUCACAUACAGGCUGGAGAAUAAAAAAAUACCAGCGGA